Molecule: ribosomal RNA, 207 nt
Filed under: uncultured Syntrophaceae bacterium
Lineage: Bacteria; Pseudomonadati; Thermodesulfobacteriota; Syntrophia; Syntrophales; Syntrophaceae
Description: partial 16S ribosomal RNA
Rfam family: Bacterial small subunit ribosomal RNA
Source: RNAcentral
CGUGUAGGCGGCUGGAUCAGUCAGAUGUGAAAUCCCUGGGCUUAACCCAGGACGUGCAUUUGAAACUGUCCGGCUGGAGUAGGGGAGAGGAAAGUGGAAUUCCUGGUGUAGAGGUGAAAUUCGUAGAUAUCAGGAGGAACACCGGUGGCGAAGGCGACUUUCUGGCCCUAUACUGACGCUGAGACGCGAGAGCGUGGGUAGCAAACA